UGACCUCAUACAGGUCACGUCCCCUUUUCUGGGCCUACUGAGUAAAUGAGGAAUUGAGGUGCUGGCCCUUCCUCCUGCUUGCAUGGGGUGGGAAUACUGGAGUCAAGGCAGCCACGCUUCAGCCAUGACAUCCCUGAGGAAGUGAACCAACAACUACCGGCAACCACCAUCUUCCAGACUUCUUGUCGCAUGAGAAAAAAUCGGCCACAAUUUUGCCAAUGCCACUGGAGUCAGGUUUCCUGUUACUUACAAAUGACUAAAAUCCUUGGUUUGAGGAUACAAAGAUGAGCAAAACAAUUCCUGGUCUCAGGGAACUCCUAGAGGGGAGACGCUGUAAAUCAAUGAAGGCAGCCCUGGGGAACAAGGGCUACCCAAGGGCUAUGUCGAGGGCCCACUGGUGGCAGGUAAGAGAAGUGAAUGAUGAUUUCUGGGUGAGACGAUGGCAGGAGGAAGGCUUCACAUAAGAGGAACUCGUUGUGUUGGGUGUUUAAAGAGAAAUAAGAUUAAGGUGUUCCUGCCAUGGACGGCAGUGCCAGUGCAGACCUGGACCACCAGCACUGAGUCCCGGUUCUGCUGCUCACACUGGUCUCACUAGACUGUGAACCGCACACAGGCGCUCCAAGUUUAUCUUCUUCUUGAUUCUGUUCCCAGUGCCUGGCAUUUAAGAGAGGCUCAAAAUAUACUUGCUGAAUUGAAACCUC
Molecule: long non-coding RNA, 701 nt
Organism: Leopardus geoffroyi (Geoffroy's cat)
Lineage: Eukaryota; Metazoa; Chordata; Mammalia; Carnivora; Felidae
Exons: 2
Source: RefSeq, a predicted model, not a curated record